GUGCUCACUUCAGAAGCACAUAUACUAAAAUUGGAAUGAUAGAGAGAAGAUUAGCAUGGCCCCUGUGCAAGGAUGACAUGCAAAUUCAUGAAGCAUUCCAUAUUUUU
RNAcentral lists this small nuclear RNA (107 nucleotides) under Moschus moschiferus (Siberian musk deer). Lineage: Eukaryota; Metazoa; Chordata; Mammalia; Artiodactyla; Moschidae. The record is from RNAcentral.